AAUUUAUUAAUUCAUAACUUGAAUGAGUCACAGAAAAGAGAUGCUAGCUAAAUUGAUAAAUAGUAAGAUGAGUAGGCUUGGCCUAUUAAAGUUUCUUAAAUUCGUGAAUUGUUGUAAAUAAUUAUUUCAUUAAAAAGCAAUGAUGCACAAGCAGGCAAGUUAAGCUUUACACCACUUUCCAUCCAUUCCUGUCUCUUAAGUCACGAUGCUUCUCAUGGACACUCAGGAUUAGAAUCACAUAGAAUUUGUUCUACAAGCCAAAGCCACAAUAAAACCACUUACCAAUAAAUAUAAGUACAGGACAAAUGCAGGAACAGUAAUCUAACAGAAGAUGCAUCAUCUGUUCUUUGGAUGAUACCAUCUAGGAUGGAAGAAAUGGGACAUGACAAGGAGAUCCCCAAAGCCAAUGAACAGAAAGGAUGCUGGUAAUGAUGGACCACAAACUCCAAAA
This 451-nucleotide long non-coding RNA is filed under the name Mus caroli (Ryukyu mouse). RNAcentral describes it as "lncRNA (MGP_CAROLIEiJ_G0004686.1)". The record is from RNAcentral. Lineage: Eukaryota; Metazoa; Chordata; Mammalia; Rodentia; Muridae.